Non-coding RNA from Emydomyces testavorans, 106 nucleotides. The record is from the annotation of a GenBank genome assembly. NCBI's taxonomy places the organism in Eukaryota, Fungi, Ascomycota, Eurotiomycetes, Onygenales, Nannizziopsiaceae.
GAGCCUGUGGCGUAGUGGUAAUGCAACGGACUCGAAUAUUUGUCCAAUCACUGAGACGUGGAACAUCGAGAUCGGUAGAUCGCAGAUUUGAUUUCUGUCGGGCUCA